Long non-coding RNA from Passer montanus (Eurasian tree sparrow), 1640 nucleotides. RefSeq lists it as uncharacterized. The record is from RefSeq and is a predicted model, not a curated record. The transcript has 3 exons. Lineage: Eukaryota; Metazoa; Chordata; Aves; Passeriformes; Passeridae.
CCCCCCCAGUCCUUGUAGAAAACUGGCAAAAAGGCUUAAGUAAUAUGUAGACAGAUGCAAAUGUGCUUUCAUGUCUUGUAGCUCUUUGAAAAUCCUUUCCUGUUACAACUACAGACAUGUCUUUCACCACAGAGUGCUGGGAGAGCUAGUGGCACAAGAAGGUUCGUUGCUUGCUGCAGUGGCUGUGUAAGUUCAUGCCUUGUUUUGGCUUGCCAGCAGUGUGUUGAACUGUUGCAGUGUAUCCAAGGUACAAGUUGUGUCAGCUUCCCAAUUUCUAAAUCACAGUAAAUUUGUUCAGCUCAGCAAUGUCCUUUUGUAGCUGUCAGUCCUGGGUGAGGAUGGCUGUGUCUCCUUAUCCACACAUGUUUUUCUUCCUUACCUUGUGGUGUAUAAGGGCCCUCCUUAAACCUUAGGAAGGAGUUAAUGAAAUGCCACUUUUACGGUGUCAUGCUGUUAAAUAUCUCCAUGAAGAUGGAAUAAUUUAUUUUCCCCAUCAGUUUUCUGGUGAGUGUUUUUUACAGAUGCUCAUACUGAUCAAGUAUUUCUCUAGAAUUGCAGUAUUGUUUGACUAAGUUGCUGUAAUGAUGUGAUUUAUUUGUUACCUCAGCCAAAUUAGAGAGUACCAAGUAUAUCUGUGGAUCAAUUAACCAGGAUCAGAAGGCAAAGUAAGUAUAUUCAGUUAUGUUGAGAGCUGUAAAGUCCUCUUUGGUGUCAAACUUUGUAGAUGGUGGCAUAGCAUCAAAAGUAUGUAAAAAAAAAGUUUCACUUCCAGGUAGCAGAGCAGUGUGCAGGAAGGGGACAACUUUGGGAUGCAAAUAGCUACUGGUUUUGUACUUUGCAGUGAGAAAUGGGUAUUUGUAUACAGCUGGUCUGUACUGUCUUCCUAGUUAGGAUUAAAGACAGGCUGUUAGUCACUGUCUUUUCUUGUGGGUUAGUUCUCUGAACUAGCACUUGUUCAGAUUGCACUUCCUUUAAUGUCAGCUUUAAAAAAUAACUUAGUGCAUAUUUUAUUAUGUAAGUACAUCAUGCAGAGGGUCAAACUGUGUUUUGUGUGCCUUGAAUCCAUGCUUCUCUCAUUAAAUGAAAAAGCCUGGUAAAUUAGCUGCUGCUGUUAAUCACUGAGGAUGUGCUGGUGAUCAGUACUCUGCUUUUGCUAGAAAGAUAUUUCAGGGAGUGGUUAUCCUUCUUAGUGGAUGGAAUGACUGUCUGGUAAUACACUUUAACAGAAGUUUGUAAAUCACUCUUGUCCUGAAAUUUGUGAAAAUCCUCCAGUGAUUCAGGCUCUCUGCUGUGGCUUUAUGACCUUGCCCAUCACCUAAGGAGUUUUGAAAGUGCAGAGUCCAGUCUGAACUCAUGACCCAGUGGGAGGCUCUUCCUCAAGGAGUUGGAUGGUGCUGUGCUUCUCUGGGCACAGACAGUGGAGAGCCAGCAGACAGGAGAUUAAUUUCAGGAUGAAGUGGAGGACAACUGAGAGAAGACUGCUGUGCAGGCAUCUGAGCAUGAGCAAAAGUCUUUCUGGAAACUGUUUUUCAUCCAGUCCUCAAUGUUACACAUCUUGACUCUCUCUGAAUACCAGCAGAUGGAUAAGUGUUUUAAAGCAGGUCCCAGGACAAAAUUAUCCUUCUUUAGCUCCACUGGAG